CGUGCAGUCAAGGGGGCCCGCAAGGGCAACCGGCGAACGGGUGCGUAACACGUGAGCAACCUGCCCAUCUGUGGGGGAUAGCCGGUCCAACGACCGGGUAAUACCGCAUACGUUCACCUGGGGGCAUCCCUGGGUGAGGAAAGCCUUCGGGCGCAGGUGGAGGGGCUCGCGGCCUAUCAGCUAGUUGGUGGGGUAACGGCCUACCAAGGCAACGACGGGUAGCUGGUCUGAGAGGAUGGCCAGCCACAUUGGGACUGCGACACGGCCCAGACUCCUACGGGAGGCAGCAGUGGGGAAUCUUGCGCAAUGGCCGAAAGGCUGACGCAGCGACGCCGCGUGUGGGAUGAAGCUCUUCGGGGUGUAAACCACUGUUGCCCGGGACGAACGGGCGGAUUAAUCCGCCGUGACGGUACCGGGUGAGGAAGCACCGGCUAACUCCGUGCCAGCAGCCGCGGUAAUACGGAGGGUGCGAGCGUUGUCCGGAAUCACUGGGCGUAAAGGGCGCGUAGGCGGCUCGGUAAGCGUGUGGUGAAAGCUCGGGGCUCAACCCCGAGUCGGCCGUGCGAACUGUCGAGCUGGAGCACUGUAGAGGCAGGUGGAAUUCCGGGUGUAGCGGUGGAAUGCGUAGAGAUCCGGAAGAACACCGGUGGCGAAGGCGGCCUGCUGGGCAGUUGCUGACGCUGAGGCGCGACAGCGUGGGGAGCAAACAGGAUUAGAUACCCUGGUAGUCCACGCCGUAAACGAUGGGCACUAGGUGCUUGCGGGAGCGACCCCGUGAGUGCCGGCGCUAACGCAUUAAGUGCCCCGCCUGGGGAGUACGGCCGCAAGGCUGAAACUCAAAGGAAUUGACGGGGGCCCGCACAAGCGGUGGAGCAUGUGGUUUAAUUCGACGCAACGCGAAGAACCUUACCUGGGCUUGACAUGCAUGGGAAACCCCUGAGAAACCAGGGGCCCUCUUCGGAGCUCAUGCACAGGUGCUGCAUGGCUGUCGUCAGCUCG
Molecule: ribosomal RNA, 999 nt
Filed under: uncultured bacterium
Lineage: Bacteria
Description: bacterial SSU rRNA
Rfam family: Bacterial small subunit ribosomal RNA
Source: RNAcentral